GACGAACGCUGGCGGCGUGCUUAACACAUGCAAGUCGAACGGAUAGGCCCUGCUUUCGUGGGGUGUUCGAGUGGCGAACGGGUGAGUAACACGUGAGUAACCUUCCCUUGACUUUGGGAUAACCUCAGGAAACUGGGGAUAAUACCGGAUAGGAGCUCCUGCUGCAUGGUGGGGGUUGGAAAGUUUCGGUGGUUGGGGAUGGAGUGGCGGUUUAUCAGCUUGUUGGUGGGGUAGUGGCUUAGCCAGGCUUUGACGGGUAGCCGGCGUGGGAGCGUGACCGGCGACCUUGCUACUAAGAGACGGCCCAGUCUCCAACAGUAGGCAGCAGGGGGAAAUAUUGCCCAAUGGUGCGAAGCCUGAUGCAGCAACCCCGCGAUCGGGAUGACGGCCUUCUGGGUGUAAACCGCUUUCGCCUGUGACGAAGCUGUUUUGACGUUAAUGAGUAAAUAAGCACCGGCUAACUACGUG
This 468-nucleotide ribosomal RNA is filed under the name uncultured bacterium. Its description in RNAcentral is "partial 16S ribosomal RNA". It matches the Rfam family "Bacterial small subunit ribosomal RNA", at positions 28 to 507 of the family's 1533-position model. The record is from RNAcentral.